GAUGAACGCUGGCGGCGUGCUUAACACAUGCAAGUCGAACGGUGAAGGCGGAGCUUGCUCUGCUGGAUCAGUGGCGAACGGGUGAGUAACACGUGAGCAAUCUGCCCCUGACUCUGGGAUAAGCGCUGGAAACGGCGUCUAAUACUGGAUACGAGCUGCGAAGGCAUCUUCAGCAGCUGGAAAGAAUUUCGGUCAGGGAUGAGCUCGCGGCCUAUCAGCUUGUUGGUGAGGUAAUGGCUCACCAAGGCGUCGACGGGUAGCCGGCCUGAGAGGGUGACCGGCCACACUGGGACUGAGACACGGCCCAGACUCCUACGGGAGGCAGCAGUGGGGAAUAUUGCACAAUGGGCGAAAGCCUGAUGCAGCAACGCCGCGUGAGGGACGACGGCCUUCGGGUUGUAAACCUCUUUUAGCAGGGAAGAAGCGAAAGUGACGGUACCUGCAGGAAAAGCGCCGGCUAACUACGUG
This 468-nucleotide ribosomal RNA is filed under the name uncultured bacterium. Its description in RNAcentral is "partial 16S ribosomal RNA". It matches the Rfam family "Bacterial small subunit ribosomal RNA", at positions 28 to 507 of the family's 1533-position model. The record is from RNAcentral.